Cyprinus carpio carpio is the source of this 933-nucleotide long non-coding RNA. The record is from Ensembl. Lineage: Eukaryota; Metazoa; Chordata; Actinopteri; Cypriniformes; Cyprinidae.
AAUAAAGAUAAAAACAUAAAAUAAACAAAAUCAAAACAUUUAUUUUAAAGGCCUUUAAAGGGAAUCCCACAGCUGUCAGUUCUGAUUGGAAAUGGAAAAACUGGGCUUGUUUUAAUUCCUUAUUGAGUUGGCUUUGGGCUGGAAUUAUUUCUGGGACCUGACAACCCUGCUAGCCUUUAUUCCAAAAUAACAGCAUGUAUGUAUGUAUUUAUUUAUUUAUUUAUUUUAGUAGAAAAAAAGAAGCAAAACAAGGAGGCCUUUGUAUGUACUACAUUAAGCCUUACAUUUGCUUGUAGUUUCUGGCAAAAAAAAAAAAAAAGAAGAAGAAGAACUCAUAUUGUGAAAUAUGAUGCCUUCAACCUGCAUUUAAUAUGUCUGUUAGUUUUGGAUACAUAAGUUCUUUUUUUUUUUUUUUUUUUUCUCCAGGACUAGCCUUGACUUCUGAAAUAUGUUGGUAAUUUCUAACUCUUCUGUUUCUCUAUGUAUUAAGGAAAAAUGCAGAAGAAAAAAGGCAUCAGUGUAUCAGUGGCAAAUGCUCUUCAAGAGAGCAUGGCAGGUUGUAAAAAAAUGCAACAAUACAAAACAAAAAGCUCAACAAAGUGGGCUUUGUUUCACCACAGCCUGACACAGAUUCAACUGAUCCUCUGCCGGAUCCAUCUGUUCUGCAGGAUCCAGCUGAUCCUCAACUGGAUUCCUUCAUGUUUCAAUCAACAGCACAGGAUCCAGCUGAUCUUGAACCGGGUCCAUCUGUCCUCAAGACAGCAGCUCUGCAGGAUCCAGCUGAUCCUCAACUGGCACAACAAAGUGGGCCCUGUUUCACCACAGCCUGGCACAGAUCCUCAGCCAGAUCUAUCUGUUCUUGAGCUAAUGGCUCUGCAGGAUCCAACCGGAUCCAUCGGUCCUCGAGACAGCAGCUCUGCAGGAUCCAGCUGA